GAUGAAGAACGUAGUGAAAUGCGAUUCGUAAUGUGAAUUGCAGAAUUCAGUGAAUCAUCGAAUCUUUGAACGCACAUUGCGCCCGCCAGCACUCUGGCGGGCAUGCCUGUUCGAGCGUCAUUUCAACCAUCAAGCCCCAGGCUUGCGUUGGAGCCCUGCGGCUGCCGCAGCCUCCUAAAAGCAGUGGCGGGCUCGCUAUCACACCGAGUGCAGUAGAUUACUCUUCGCUCAGGGCGUGCAGCGGGUUCCGGCCGUGAAACCCCCUACUUUUAAAGGUUGACCUCGGAUCAGGUAGGAAUACCCGCUGAACUUAAGCAUAUCAAUAAGCGGAGGA
Molecule: unclassified non-coding RNA, 334 nt
Filed under: soil metagenome
Description: partial contains 5.8S ribosomal RNA, internal transcribed spacer 2, and large subunit ribosomal RNA
Rfam family: 5.8S ribosomal RNA (bases 1-120)
Source: RNAcentral